Marmota monax (woodchuck) is the source of this 770-nucleotide long non-coding RNA. RefSeq lists it as uncharacterized. The transcript is spliced from 3 exons. NCBI's taxonomy places the organism in Eukaryota, Metazoa, Chordata, Mammalia, Rodentia, Sciuridae. The record is from RefSeq and is a predicted model, not a curated record.
GAAAGAGCCACUUCCUCUCAGAGUCUAGUUCAGAGAAACAGACACUCAAACCAACAUUACAACUUGGAAAGUGCUAUGAGAGAAAUAAAUGAAGAAGCUAUGGCAAAAAAAGAGGCAGGGCAGUUAGAGUUAGGGGAGAGCUGGUGUACUUUGGGGAGAGGAAAUGGCAUGUACGAAAGCCCUGAGGCAUGGAACUGUACCAUUUUGAGAAAUGUUAGUAAUCAAGGUAUUAUAUAAGCCUAGUUAAGGUUCUUUCCACAUGGAACAUAUUAUGUGUUGAUCUACAAAGCUUGAACCUGACCUGAAGGCUAGGAGAACAUUUGGAAAAUUCAAAGAAGAGAAGGGACUUGCACAUAUCUACUCUACUUGGUGAAGAAUCAAUUAUAGGAGGCAAUAUUAGAGGCUGAGAAACCCAAUGAGAAGCUAUUUCAGCAAUCCUCAGGAGUGAUCACUUCUCCAAGACAGAGUUACCAGGAAACAGGAUUGACGAGGAAACUGAGGCACAGUUGUAUUCUGCUUAGGGAAUGCUUACAAGUGGACCAGGAAGGAUUAGGAAAUAGGAAGCAGCCAGUCUGGCUCCUACUCUGUGCCCACAAGCUGAGCAGCCUUCCGUGGAUGAACAGUGGUCAAUUCUAGGAAAAGAGAGAAAACCAAAGCUGAAAUCCAGUAACCACUGAUAGGAAGAUCUGGAGAUAGACACUGACCUGAAUUCUGAAUAACAACCAGAGAGAAGGAAGUCUGAGAACGUGCUGGCCUUCCUCCAAAACCUG